UACGUAGGGUGCGAGCGUUAAUCGGAAUACUGGGCGUAAAGCGUGCGCAGGCGGUUUUGUAAGCCAGAUGUGAAAUCCCCGGGCUUAACCUGGGAAUGGCAUUUGGGACUGCAAGGCUUGAGUGCGGCAGAGGAGACUGGAAUUCCUGGUGUAGCAGUGAAAUGCGUAGAUAUCAGGAGGAACACCGAUGGCGAAGGCAGGUCUCUGGGCUGACACUGACGCUCAUGCACGAAAGCGUGGGGAG
RNAcentral lists this ribosomal RNA (244 nucleotides) under uncultured bacterium. RNAcentral's name for it is "partial 16S ribosomal RNA". It matches the Rfam family "Bacterial small subunit ribosomal RNA", at positions 524 to 768 of the family's 1533-position model. The record is from RNAcentral.